GACGAACGCUGGCGGCGUGCUUAACACAUGCAAGUCGAACGAGAAGAGAUGAGAAGCUUGCUUCUUAUUGAUUCGAGUGGCAAACGGGUGAGUAACGCGUAAGCAACCUGCCCUUCAGAUGGGGACAACAGCUGGAAACGGCUGCUAAUACCGAAUACGUUCUUUUUGUCGCAUGGCAGAGAGAAGAAAGGGAGGCUCUUCGGAGCUUUCGCUGAAGGAGGGGCUUGCGUCUGAUUAGCUAGUUGGAGGGUAACGGCCACCAAGGCGACGAUCAGUAGCCGGUCUGAGAGGAUGAACGGCCACAUUGGGACUGAGACACGGCCCAGACUCCUACGGGAGCAGCAGUGGGGAAUAUUGGGCGAAUGGGCGAAAGCCUGACCCAGCAACGCCGCGUGAAGGAAGACGGUUUUCGGAUUGUAAACUUCUUUUAAGAGGGACGAUAAUGACGGUACCUCUUGAACAAGCC
This 466-nucleotide ribosomal RNA is filed under the name uncultured bacterium. RNAcentral describes it as "bacterial SSU rRNA". It matches the Rfam family "Bacterial small subunit ribosomal RNA", at positions 28 to 492 of the family's 1533-position model. The record is from RNAcentral.